This 623-nucleotide ribosomal RNA is filed under the name uncultured marine bacterium. RNAcentral's name for it is "bacterial SSU rRNA". It matches the Rfam family "Bacterial small subunit ribosomal RNA", at positions 879 to 1501 of the family's 1533-position model. The record is from RNAcentral.
AGUACGGUCGCAAGACUAAAACUCAAAUGAAUUGACGGGGGCCCGCACAAGCGGUGGAGCAUGUGGUUUAAUUCGAUGCAACGCGAAGAACCUUACCUGGUCUUGACAUAGUAAGAACUUUCCAGAGAUGGAUUGGUGCCUUCGGGAACUUACAUACAGGUGCUGCAUGGCUGUCGUCAGCUCGUGUCGUGAAAUGUUGGGUUAAGUCCCGCAACGAGCGCAACCCUUUUCCUUAUUUGCCAGCGGGUUAAGCCGGGAACUUUAAGGAUACUGCCAGUGACAAACUGGAGGAAGGCGGGGACGACGUCAAGUCAUCAUGGCCCUUACGACCAGGGCUACACACGUGCUACAAUGGUCGGUACAAAGGGUUGCUACCUAGCGAUAGGAUGCUAAUCUCAAAAAGCCGAUCGUAGUCCGGAUUGGAGUCUGCAACUCGACUCCAUGAAGUCGGAAUCGCUAGUAAUCGCGGAUCAGAAUGCCGCGGUGAAUACGUUCCCGGGCCUUGUACACACCGCCCGUCACACCAUGGGAAUUUGUUGCACCAGAAGUAGGUAGUCUAACCGCAAGGAGGACGCUUACCACGGUGUGGCCGAUGACUGGGGUGAAGUCGUAACAAGGUAACC